RNAcentral lists this ribosomal RNA (466 nucleotides) under uncultured bacterium. Its description in RNAcentral is "bacterial SSU rRNA". It matches the Rfam family "Bacterial small subunit ribosomal RNA", at positions 338 to 795 of the family's 1533-position model. The record is from RNAcentral.
CCUACGGGUUGCAGCAGUGGGGAAUAUUGGACAAUGGGGGGAACCCUGAUCCAGCCAUGCCGCGUGUGUGAAGAAGGCCUUUUGGUUGUAAAGCACUUUAAGCGAGGAGGAGGCUACCGAGAUUAAUACUCUUGGAUAGUGGACGUUACUCGCAGAAUAAGCACCGGCUAACUCUGUGCCAGCAGCCGCGGUAAUACAGAGGGUGCAAGCGUUAAUCGGAUUUACUGGGCGUAAAGCGCGCGUAGGUGGCCAAUUAAGUCAAAUGUGAAAUCCCCGAGCUUAACUUGGGAAUUGCAUUCGAUACUGGUUGGCUAGAGUAUGGGAGAGGAUGGUAGAAUUCCAGGUGUAGCGGUGAAAUGCGUAGAGAUCUGGAGGAAUACCGAUGGCGAAGGCAGCCAUCUGGCCUAAUACUGACACUGAGGUGCGAAAGCAUGGGGAGCAAACAGGAUUAGAUACCCUAGUAGUC